CGCAGUCAAGUCAAAUUCAGCCCCUGUUCCUACUGUAGUGGGGGCUGGCCCAGAUGACUGCCACAGCAAGGCUGCAGCUCAUGGGCCCUGGGUCCCCCGCCCUGGGACUUGGGGAUAAGUUUGGCUGCACACAUGG
Molecule: small nucleolar RNA, 136 nt
Organism: Camelus dromedarius (Arabian camel)
Lineage: Eukaryota; Metazoa; Chordata; Mammalia; Artiodactyla; Camelidae
Gene: SNORA5C
Product: small nucleolar RNA, H/ACA box 5C
Source: Ensembl